This 497-nucleotide ribosomal RNA is filed under the name uncultured bacterium. Its description in RNAcentral is "partial 16S ribosomal RNA". It matches the Rfam family "Bacterial small subunit ribosomal RNA", at positions 28 to 507 of the family's 1533-position model. The record is from RNAcentral.
GAUGAACGCUGGCGGCGUGCCUAAUACAUGCAAGUCGAGCGAACAGACGAGGAGCUUGCUCCUCUGACGUUAGCGGCGGAAGGGUGAGUAAAACGUGGAUAACCUACCUAUAAGACUGGGAUAACUUCGGGAAACCGGAGCUAAUACCGGAUAAUUUAUUGAACCGCAUGGUUCAAUAGUGAAAGACGGUUUUGCUGUCACUUAUAGAUGGAUCCGCGCCGCAUUAGCUAGUUGGUAAGGUAACGGCUUACCAAGGCAACGAUGCGUAGCCGACCUGAGAGGGGGAACGCCGACACAGGAACUGAGCCACGACACAGACUCCUAGGGGAGGCACAAACAGGGACUGUUCCGCACUGGGCGGAAGACUGCCGGAGGAGCGCCGCGUGAGUGAUGAAGGUCCUCGGACGGUAAGACUCUGUUAUUAUGGUAGACCAAUUGCGUAAGUAACUAUGCUUGUCGUGACGGUACCUACACAGAAAGCAACGGCUAACUACGUG